UCAAAAAUGUAUAGAAGAUAAUUAUUCAAUUUUUAUCCAUUAAGCAAAUGGGUGAAGAUUACGUCCAGUUCGGAUCUUAGACUACUAGAAA
Melitaea cinxia (Glanville fritillary) is the source of this 91-nucleotide long non-coding RNA. RefSeq lists it as uncharacterized. Lineage: Eukaryota; Metazoa; Arthropoda; Insecta; Lepidoptera; Nymphalidae. The transcript has 3 exons. The record is from RefSeq and is a predicted model, not a curated record.